Molecule: ribosomal RNA, 406 nt
Filed under: uncultured bacterium
Lineage: Bacteria
Description: partial 16S ribosomal RNA
Rfam family: Bacterial small subunit ribosomal RNA
Source: RNAcentral
AUUGAACGCUGGCGGCAGGCCUAACACAUGCAAGUCGAACGAGUGGCAGACGGGUGAGUAAUGUCUGGGAAACUGCCUGAUGGAGGGGGAUAACUACUGGAAACGGUAGCUAAUACCGCAUACCAUCGGAUGUGCCCAGAUGGGAUUAGCUAGUGUGGGGGGUAAAGGCUCACCUAGGCGACGAUCCCUAGCUGGUCUGAGAGGAUGACAAGCCACAAUGGAACUGAGACACGUUCCAGACUCCUCCGGGAGGCAGAAGUGGGGAAUAUUGCACAAUGGGCGCAAGCCUGAUGCAGCCAUGCCGCGUGUAGGAAGAAGGCCUUCGGGUUGUAAAGUACUUUCAGCGGGGAGGCGUUACCCGCAGAAGAAGCACCGGCUAACUCCGUGCCAGCAGCCGCGGUAAUAC